UCGGCCUCCGGUUCACGCCCGGCACCAGUCGCGGCGACCCGGUCC
Non-coding RNA from Actinomycetales bacterium JB111, 45 nucleotides. The record is from Rfam. Lineage: Bacteria; Bacillati; Actinomycetota; Actinomycetes; Actinomycetales.